Molecule: non-coding RNA, 85 nt
Filed under: Oceanobacillus limi
Lineage: Bacteria; Bacillati; Bacillota; Bacilli; Caryophanales; Bacillaceae
Description: Ornithinibacillus sp. H9B(2010) c-di-GMP-I riboswitch aptamer
Rfam family: c-di-GMP-I riboswitch aptamer
About the family: GEMM was predicted in a large-scale screen for bacterial structured RNA regulatory elements. Genes associated with GEMM are involved in a diverse array of functions, including chemotaxis regulation, signal transduction, secretion and chitin.
Source: Rfam by way of RNAcentral
AUUUGAAAAAGGCAAAUCUAUUGAAAAAUAGAGACGCAAAGUCACAGGCCUACGGUGUUUGAACUAUGGUGGCUGGACUGCUGAA